GUCUGAGCACUGCAGAUACAAGCUGUCAGAUCUCACGUUGGAAGCCAAGGUCAGUGGUCCCCAUUCCUUUCUGAACCACACACAUAUCAAGCUCACAGAUAAUUCCUGGCAUGCUGCAGGGCACAGCACACAGGGCAGGCGAGCCUCCUCCGACACUCCAGAGCCAGCAAGAGUCACUGUCUCUGCAAUCGUCCACUUUACAAUGUGCC
Long non-coding RNA from Apodemus sylvaticus (European woodmouse), 209 nucleotides. RefSeq lists it as uncharacterized. The transcript is spliced from 3 exons. The record is from RefSeq and is a predicted model, not a curated record. NCBI's taxonomy places the organism in Eukaryota, Metazoa, Chordata, Mammalia, Rodentia, Muridae.